This 120-nucleotide ribosomal RNA is filed under the name uncultured bacterium. Its description in RNAcentral is "partial 16S ribosomal RNA". The record is from RNAcentral.
AUUGAACGCUAGCGGGAUGCUUUACACAUGCAAGUCGGACGGCAGCGCGAGGUAAGCUUGCUUACCUUGGCGGCGAGUGGCGAACGGGUGAGUAAUGUAUCGGAACGUGCCCAGUAGCGG